UGGUGGAGUGAUUUGUCUGCUUAAUUGCGAUAACGAACGAGACCUUGACCUGCUAAAUAGCCAGGUUGACCUUUGUCGGCCGCCGGCUUCUUAGAGGGACUUUUGGCUCAAGCCAAUGGAAGUACGAGGCAAUAACA
Molecule: ribosomal RNA, 137 nt
Filed under: uncultured eukaryote
Lineage: Eukaryota
Description: partial 18S ribosomal RNA
Rfam family: Eukaryotic small subunit ribosomal RNA
Source: RNAcentral